UCUAAGUACAGGGCUUGGCGCCAUGGGAGACCCACGCGCGGGGCAUCAAGAGAGUAGAAAGCCAUCUCAGCGCACACUCAGGGGUGCUUUGCUCCCCAGGGGGUCCUAGCCAGCAAGUACCCACUGUCCUAAGUGCUGCCAAGUCAAGACGGUGUUUGAGCAGAGAGGCAAGCAAGACGCAGCCAAGUGGAGCAGGUGAGCGGGCCGCCAGCUUCCAAUGAGACAUAAGUGAAAAACAGCCUUCAGUUUCACUUCAGUGGCCUCCUUGAACUGAGAGGCAUCCGACUGUCAGGCAAGGUGAUGAAAACCCUCGGUAGACACUCCAGAUCUUAGUUCUGGUCAUUAAGUCUCAAGGGUAAUCCAGCCCCAGCUUUCUUAUUCCUAAAUUUGUUCUUUUUGCUCGAAGAGAU
Long non-coding RNA from Zalophus californianus (California sea lion), 410 nucleotides. RefSeq lists it as uncharacterized. Lineage: Eukaryota; Metazoa; Chordata; Mammalia; Carnivora; Otariidae. The transcript has 3 exons. The record is from RefSeq and is a predicted model, not a curated record.